UUGAAGAGUUUGAUCAUGGCUCAGAUUGAACGCUGGCGGCAGGCCUAACACAUGCAAGUCGAACGGUAACAGGAAGCAGCUUGCUGCUUUGCUGACGAGUGGCGGACGGGUGAGUAAUGUCUGGGAAACUGCCCGAUGGAGGGGGAUAACUACUGGAAACGGUAGCUAAUACCGCAUAACGUCGCAAGACCAAAGAGGGGGACCUUAGGGCCUCUUGCCAUCGGAUGUGCCCAGAUGGGAUUAGCUAGUAGGUGGGGUAAUGGCUCACCUAGGCGACGAUCCCUAGCUGGUCUGAGAGGAUGACCAGCCACACUGGAACUGAGACACGGUCCAGACUCCUACGGGAGGCAGCAGUGGGGAAUAUUGCACAAUGGGCGCAAGCCUGAUGCAGCCAUGCCGCGUGUAUGAAGAAGGCCUUCGGGUUGUAAAGUACUUUCAGCGGGGAGGAAGGGAGUAAAGUUAAUACCUUUGCUCAUUGACGUUACCCGCAGAAGAAGCACCGGCUAACUCCGUGCCAGCAGCCGCGGUAAUACGGAGGGUGCAAGCGUUAAUCGGAAUUACUGGGCGUAAAGCGCACGCAGGCGGUUUGUUAAGUCAGAUGUGAAAUCCCCGGGCUCAACCUGGGAACUGCAUCUGAUACUGGCAAGCUUGAGUCUCGUAGAGGGGGGGUAGAAUUCCAGGUGUAGCGGUGAAAUGCGUAGAGAUCUGGAGGAAUACCGGUGGCGAAGGCGGCCCCCUGGACGAAGACUGACGCUCAGGUGCGAAAGCGUGGGGAGCAAACAGGAUUAGAUACCCUGGUAGUCCACGCCGUAAACGAUGUCGACUUGGAGGUUGUGCCCUUGAGGCGUGGCUUCCGGAGCUAACGCGUUAAGUCGACCGCCUGGGGAGUACGGCCGCAAGGUUAAAACUCAAAUGAAUUGACGGGGGCCCGCACAAGCGGUGGAGCAUGUGGUUUAAUUCGAUGCAACGCGAAGAACCUUACCUGGUCUUGACAUCCACGGAAGUUUUCAGAGAUGAGAAUGUGCCUUCGGGAACCGUGAGACAGGUGCUGCAUGGCUGUCGUCAGCUCGUGUUGUGAAAUGUUGGGUUAAGUCCCGCAACGAGCGCAACCCUUAUCCUUUGUUGCCAGCGGUCCGGCCGGGAACUCAAAGGAGACUGCCAGUGAUAAACUGGAGGAAGGUGGGGAUGACGUCAAGUCAUCAUGGCCCUUACGACCAGGGCUACACACGUGCUACAAUGGCGCAUACAAAGAGAAGCGACCUCGCGAGAGCAAGCGGACCUCAUAAAGUGCGUCGUAGUCCGGAUUGGAGUCUGCAACUCGACUCCAUGAAGUCGGAAUCGCUAGUAAUCGUGGAUCAGAAUGCCACGGUGAAUACGUUCCCGGGCCUUGUACACACCGCCCGUCACACCAUGGGAGUGGGUUGCAAAAGAAGUAGGUAGCUUAACCUUCGGGAGGGCGCUUACCACUUUGUGAUUCAUGACUGGGGUGAAGUCGUAACAAGGUAACCGUAGGGAACCUGCGGUUGGAUCACCUCCUU
RNAcentral lists this ribosomal RNA (1538 nucleotides) under Escherichia coli. Its description in RNAcentral is "bacterial SSU rRNA". It matches the Rfam family "Bacterial small subunit ribosomal RNA". The record is from RNAcentral. Lineage: Bacteria; Pseudomonadati; Pseudomonadota; Gammaproteobacteria; Enterobacterales; Enterobacteriaceae.